GCAGACGGGGCUGCCGCGUGUCAUAGCGCCGCAAGGUAUUGGCAUGAGGAAAGUCCGGGCAUCGAAGGGCAGGAUAACGGAUAACGUCCGCCGAGGGAAACCUCCGGGAAAGUGCAACAGAAAUAGACUACCAAAGCGGUUUCGCUCCGGCGGGCCGCACGGUACAGAUGGAAAGGCGAGGUAAAAGCUCACCGGCACGACAGGCAACUGUGUGCAAAUGUAAACCCUAUCCGAUGCAACGCCUCCACGCGGGGAUCCCAUCCCGGGGUCAUGCCGGCCCGGCAGAACUGCGGAGGCGGCUGAGAGGCGGCUGGCGACAACCGUCACAGAUAGAUGGCAGCUGCGGGGCUCGCUCCGUACAGAACCCGGCUUACAAGUCCGCCG
Molecule: RNase P RNA, 384 nt
Filed under: bovine gut metagenome
Description: Bacterial RNase P class A
Rfam family: Bacterial RNase P class A
About the family: Ribonuclease P (RNase P) is a ubiquitous endoribonuclease, found in archaea, bacteria and eukarya as well as chloroplasts and mitochondria. Its best characterised activity is the generation of mature 5'-ends of tRNAs by cleaving the 5'-leader elements of precursor-tRNAs. Cellular RNase Ps are ribonucleoproteins.
Source: RNAcentral